AUUGAACGCUGGCGGCAGGCCUAACACAUGCAAGUCGAACGGUAGCACAGAGAGCUUGCUCUUGGGUGACGAGUGGCGGACGGGUGAGUAAUGUCUGGGAAACUGCCCGAUGGAGGGGGAUAACUACUGGAAACGGUAGCUAAUACCGCAUAACGUCUUCGGACCAAAGUGGGGGACCUUCGGGCCUCACACCAUCGGAUGUGCCCAGAUGGGAUUAGCUAGUAGGUGGGGUAAUGGCUCACCUAGGCGACGAGCCCUAGCUGGUCUGAGAGGAUGACCAGCCACACUGGAACUGGGACACGGUCCAGACUCCUACGGGAGGCAGCAGUGGGGAAUAUUGCACAAUGGGCGCAAGCCUGAUGCAGCCAUGCCGCGUGUAUGAAGAAGGCCUUCGGGUUGUAAAGUACUUUCAGCGGGGAGGAAGGCGAUGAGGUUAAUAACCGCAUCGAUUGACGUUACCCGCAGAAGAAGCACCGGCUAACUCCGUGCCAGCCGCCGCGGUAA
Molecule: ribosomal RNA, 504 nt
Filed under: uncultured bacterium
Lineage: Bacteria
Description: partial 16S ribosomal RNA
Rfam family: Bacterial small subunit ribosomal RNA
Source: RNAcentral